This 459-nucleotide ribosomal RNA is filed under the name Aeromonas hydrophila. RNAcentral describes it as "bacterial SSU rRNA". It matches the Rfam family "Bacterial small subunit ribosomal RNA", at positions 44 to 491 of the family's 1533-position model. The record is from RNAcentral. Lineage: Bacteria; Pseudomonadati; Pseudomonadota; Gammaproteobacteria; Aeromonadales; Aeromonadaceae.
AGGCCUACACAUGCAAGUCGAGCGGCAGCGGGAAAGUAGCUUGCUACUUUUGCCGGCGAGCGGCGGACGGGUGAGUAAUGCCUGGGAAAUUGCCCAGUCGAGGGGGAUAACAGUUGGAAACGACUGCUAAUACCGCAUACGCCCUACGGGGGAAAGCAGGGGACCUUCGGGCCUUGCGCGAUUGGAUAUGCCCAGGUGGGAUUAGCUAGUUGGUGAGGUAAUGGCUCACCAAGGCGACGAUCCCUAGCUGGUCUGAGAGGAUGAUCAGCCACACUGGAACUGAGACACGGUCCAGACUCCUACGGGAGGCAGCAGUGGGGAAUAUUGCACAAUGGGGGAAACCCUGAUGCAGCCAUGCCGCGUGUGUGAAGAAGGCCUUCGGGUUGUAAAGCACUUUCAGCGAGGAGGAAAGGUUGAUGCCUAAUACGUAUCAACUGUGACGUUACUCGCAGAAGAAGC